UACGCAGGGGGCUAGCGUUGCUCGGAAUCACUGGGCGUAAAGCGCACGUAGGCGGAUUGGUAAGUCAGGGGUGAAAUCCUGGAGCUCAACUCCAGAACUGCCUUUGAUACUGGCGAUCUUGAGUCCGGGAGAGGUGAGUGGAACUGCGAGUGUAGAGGUGAAAUUCGUAGAUAUUCGCAAGAACACCAGUGGCGAAGGCGGCUCACUGGCCCGGUACUGACGCUGAGGUGCGAAAGCGUGGGGAGCAAACAGG
This 253-nucleotide ribosomal RNA is filed under the name uncultured bacterium. RNAcentral's name for it is "partial 16S ribosomal RNA". It matches the Rfam family "Bacterial small subunit ribosomal RNA", at positions 524 to 776 of the family's 1533-position model. The record is from RNAcentral.